Long non-coding RNA from Myotis lucifugus (little brown bat), 676 nucleotides. RefSeq lists it as uncharacterized. The record is from RefSeq and is a predicted model, not a curated record. The transcript is spliced from 2 exons. NCBI's taxonomy places the organism in Eukaryota, Metazoa, Chordata, Mammalia, Chiroptera, Vespertilionidae.
UCCGCCAGAGGCCAGGCAGCCGGAGCUGCUGAGAAGUCUGUUCUGCGCUUCCCUCCCACGCCUACCACCCCCAACACUCCUCCUACUCCCUUCCGUUGAGAACAAGGAAUUUCCAGUCUUUAGGAAAAGGAGAGACAGAAAGGCUUAGAGACUAUGAGAAACAAGAAAAACAAAGAUAAGGGGCAGGGAGUGGGGAGAUGACAAAAAGAUUCCUAAGAAACUUUGAAUAGCACCGCCGUAGUUGUUUCUUUAGCUCUAUGUUUUGGAUCAUACUAAGGACCCUGGACUUUAUCACAGAAGAUACUCUGGAACCAUAAAGAUCUUGUCAUAUGGGAGUGACAAGGUCAGAUCUGCAUUUAGGAGUGGUGUGGAGGAAGGGUUUUAUGGCUGCAAAAACAUCAGAGAGGCCAGCUUGCAGGAAAUUAAAUGUGAGAAAUCGAAAGGUGCUGGACUAAAUCAUUGGCAUGAGAUAGAGAGGACAGAACAGAUUUCAAAAGAUUUAAAUUAAUAAGACCUGUUGAUUGAGUGGCUAAGGGGUUGGGGAAAGAGGAGAAGGGUUAGGGUGACUCUUGAGCUUCUAGCUUGGGUGAUGGAGUAAAUAGAAUAGAGUGCUUCUUCCCAAAACUUUGGGAAUUUUCUUCAUCAAAUACUCACCAUUUGCAAUCCUUUUCCUAAA